GAAGAACGAACAGAUACACCGAGCAUAAGCAGAAAAGUUUCGAGUCAAAGAGGAAAAGUUGGAAUCAAAGGCGGAAAAGGAAACGAAAAGAGAAGCGCCAUUGACAAAUUACUGAAGGCUUUACACAGGUCCAUCAAAACGAGAAGGUACUUUAUUCUCAACAGUAUUCCGACAGCACUUGGCUCUCAGGCAUUUUGAAAGUUCUCAACAAUGCCGUUUCGGAGCACAAAAACUAGCAUCUCAUGAAGGUCCCUAACUUAUAAGCUUUCCCAUGUUCUUACAAGUAAUUAAUUCAAUCCUAGCUAUAAGGUUUCUCCGGCUGCCUAACCUAGUAUAACUUAAUCAAUGAGUCUGAGAAGAACGAAAAAUGGAUAGCUAUACCUGAAUAUAUUAUCUACGCCGGGGUCCAACUGGGUUAUAAUUGUUCAUCAUCAUGCAUGGAAUUGGAGACCCCAUGGCCUAGAACUCACGCGCAAUGGAAACAGUGUUCAACUCUUCAUAACAUUCAGAUGAGUUACAGGGAUGCCAUAUCUUGGAAUCUCAGGCAAUGGGACAGCAGUAUUCAGUUCCAGGCUCCUGAGAAUGUCGUCAUAUACAAG
This 599-nucleotide small RNA is filed under the name Malus domestica (apple). RNAcentral's name for it is "sRNA MD15G0092300". Lineage: Eukaryota; Viridiplantae; Streptophyta; Magnoliopsida; Rosales; Rosaceae. The record is from RNAcentral.